Molecule: transfer RNA, 63 nt
Filed under: Rattus norvegicus (Norway rat)
Lineage: Eukaryota; Metazoa; Chordata; Mammalia; Rodentia; Muridae
Rfam family: tRNA
About the family: Transfer RNA (tRNA) molecules are approximately 80 nucleotides in length. Their secondary structure includes four short double-helical elements and three loops (D, anti-codon, and T loops). Further hydrogen bonds mediate the characteristic L-shaped molecular structure. tRNAs have two regions of fundamental functional importance: the anti-codon, which is responsible for specific mRNA codon recognition, and the 3' end, to which the tRNAs corresponding amino acid is attached (by aminoacyl-tRNA synthetases). tRNAs cope with the degeneracy of the genetic code in two manners: having more than one tRNA (with a specific anti-codon) for a particular amino acid; and 'wobble' base-pairing, i.e. permitting non-standard base-pairing at the 3rd anti-codon position.
Source: Rfam by way of RNAcentral
GGGGAUUUAGCUCAGCGGUAGAGCGCUUGUCUAGCAAGCGCAAGGCCCUGGGUUCAGUCCCCA